RNAcentral lists this transfer RNA (85 nucleotides) under Trichoglossum hirsutum. It matches the Rfam family "tRNA". From Rfam's summary of the family: Transfer RNA (tRNA) molecules are approximately 80 nucleotides in length. Their secondary structure includes four short double-helical elements and three loops (D, anti-codon, and T loops). Lineage: Eukaryota; Fungi; Ascomycota; Geoglossomycetes; Geoglossales; Geoglossaceae. The record is from Rfam by way of RNAcentral.
GCCGUGGUGGCGCAAUUGGUUAGCGCGUUCGGCUUUUACUGUUGAGCCAACCGAAAGGCUGUGGGUUCGAGUCCCACCCAUGGCG